Molecule: long non-coding RNA, 524 nt
Organism: Ostrea edulis (European flat oyster)
Lineage: Eukaryota; Metazoa; Mollusca; Bivalvia; Ostreida; Ostreidae
Exons: 3
Source: RefSeq, a predicted model, not a curated record
AUGAGGGGAGUAUACACAAAUGUUGGGAUGAUCUAGACAACAAACGAGAGGCUAAUUAGGAUCAGAAAAAACUCAUUUCAAUCUUCGGUUCAGUUUUUCAGAUUGCAGACUGAAGAUAAUCAGAGUAAAGCUAGGAGAUCAAUCACCAACAUGUGUCAACACAGUACAGACAAGCUUCCAACCCCGGGUGUUACAAGAGAGUUAUAGACUCACACAAUAGAAAUAAAGUUUCAAGUGAUUGCUAUACAGAUCUAGUGUAGAGAGAGGAACAAUGAGGCGACCAUCACCAAGAUAUGUGAAACCCUCUCCCACCACAAUGUCAAUUUGGAUCAAGGAUGCAAGAUCAAAAAUGCUUACGAAUGGAGUAGCUUAGGUGCUGUAUUAAUUGUAUAAAUAUAGUGUGUUCAUUAUUCUAAAUAAGACAUUGUAUUCAAUACACUUUUUCUAUAUCUGUCUUUUCAUUUCCUUCUUUGUGUUUUAGAUAUAUAAACUAAAAGUUUUACAGAUAAAAGAAAUGAAAUUAG